UUUACUUAUAAAUAGACUAGCUAGAUUUUAGGUACCUAUUACCUUACCUACUUAGUAUAUUACUAUUUAUUAGACUAUUAAUAUUAUUACCUACCUACCUGACGACCUACUUGACGUAAGUUGGUUUGGUUAAUGCGUGAUGAUGAUUGCACUGCUCUGUACUAAUUAUUAAAGUAAACUAAGCAUGCCUAUGUGCCUAUUCGGUGCUUUUAAUCUAUAAACUAACUACCUAUUUAAAUUGGGGUGUGCCGUUUUUGUACAUUCGCUAUCACCUGGCAUAGCACCUGGUAUAUGAAUAAAAUAAAGAUAUUUGAACAAAAAACUGUUACGUGAUCAACUGUAGUAUUUCGGCUUGGUUGUGAAUUAUCUACCUAGGUAUAUAAGUUAACUUUUGCAAAAACACCCUUGAUUUUGUUGUUAUUUGUGCGCUUGAGUUUGAUACACAUUUUAUUAUUAACGCAUUGGUACUAACCUUCUAUUUAAUACCUAAAUAACGAUAAAAUAUCUAGGUUUGUGUCUAAUUUUUAGGGUGAUUUGGUAAUGGGUCCUUUUUAUUGCUUAACGUCUAUUAUGUACCUACCUACAAACAAUGUAUUUAAACCAUUAUGUUCCAAUUAACAGAUUCCACUAAUACUGCAUCCCAAUCCAGUACAACCCAGUGGAAGAAUGACCAGAAAUGCAAAAAUAUUUCAAGAAACUAUGGGAUAUCUUCUCGUCGUAGUCAACAUGAGACACAUUCUCUUGAAGGUUCUACCGAAAAGCAAAGAGGGGGUGAUCGGAAAGGAGCAAAAUGUUCAAGAAAACACUUAAUGACUAACUGUAAUAACUGAAAAUGAAGGUUUUUCUAAUAAAGGCAAGUGCCAUACCGUAUUAAUAUAUUUUGUGAUUAUGCAUGUAUUAAUUAAUAAACGUUUUAAAAUUAAAA
Molecule: long non-coding RNA, 925 nt
Organism: Pectinophora gossypiella (pink bollworm)
Lineage: Eukaryota; Metazoa; Arthropoda; Insecta; Lepidoptera; Gelechiidae
Exons: 2
Source: RefSeq, a predicted model, not a curated record